Tetraodon nigroviridis (spotted green pufferfish) is the source of this 71-nucleotide non-coding RNA. Lineage: Eukaryota; Metazoa; Chordata; Actinopteri; Tetraodontiformes; Tetraodontidae. The record is from Rfam.
ACUCAAAGAGGGGGACGCUGAGCAUCAGACUUUUAAUCUGUGGAUCCAGGGUUCAAGUCCCUGUUCAAGUG